RNAcentral lists this ribosomal RNA (568 nucleotides) under uncultured bacterium. RNAcentral's name for it is "partial 16S ribosomal RNA". It matches the Rfam family "Bacterial small subunit ribosomal RNA", at positions 355 to 912 of the family's 1533-position model. The record is from RNAcentral.
UGGGGAAUAUUGCACAAUGGGCGCAAGCCUGAUGCAGCCAUGCCGCGUGUGUGAAGAAGGCCUUCGGGUUGUAAAGCACUUUCAGCGAGGAGGAAGGUGGUGAACUUAAUACGUUCAUCAAUUGACGUUACUCGCAGAAGAAGCACCGGCUAACUCCGUGCCAGCAGCCGCGGUAAUACGGAGGGUGCAAGCGUUAAUCGGAAUUACUGGGCGUAAAGCGCACGCAGGCGGUUUGUUAAGUCAGAUGUGAAAUCCCCGGGCUCAACCUGGGAACUGCAUUUGAAACUGGCAAGCUAGAGUCUCGUAGAGGGGGGUAGAAUUCCAGGUGUAGCGGUGAAAUGCGUAGAGAUCUGGAGGAAUACCGGUGGCGAAGGCGGCCCCCCUGGACGAAGACUGACGCUCAGGUGCGAAAAGCGUGGGGCAGCAAACAGGAUUAGAUACCCUGGUAGUCCACGCUGUAAACGAUGUCGAUUUGGAGGUUGUGCCCUUGAGGCGUGGCUUCCGGAGCUAACGCGUUAAAUCGACCGCCUGGGGAGUACGGCCGCAAGGUUAAAACUUAAAUGAAUUG